AGCGAACGCUGGCGGCAGGCUUAACACAUGCAAGUCGAGCGGGCCUUUCGGGGUCAGCGGCGGACGGGUGAGUAACGCGUGGGAACGUGCCCUCUGGUUCGGAAUAACUCAGGGAAACUUGAGCUAAUACCGGAUACGCCCUUUUGGGGAAAGGCUUGCUGCAGGAGGAUCGGCCCGCGUCUGAUUAGCUAGUUGGUGAGGUAACGGCCCACCAAGGCGACGAUCAGUAGCUGGUCUGAGAGGAUGAGCAGCCACACUGGGACUGAGACACGGCCCAGACUCCUACGGGAGGCAGCAGGGGGGAAUAUUGGACAAUGGGCGCAAGCCUGAUCCAGCCAUGCCGCGUGAGUGAUGAAGGCCUUAGGGUUGUAAAGCUCUUUUAUCCGGGACGAUAAUGACGGUACCGGAGGAAUAAGCCCCGGCUAACUUCGUG
This 433-nucleotide ribosomal RNA is filed under the name uncultured bacterium. Its description in RNAcentral is "partial 16S ribosomal RNA". It matches the Rfam family "Bacterial small subunit ribosomal RNA", at positions 29 to 507 of the family's 1533-position model. The record is from RNAcentral.